GAAGGCUGAUGUGUGUGAGAUUACCCGCUGAAUUUAAGCAUAUAAGUAAGCGGAGGAAAAGAAACUAACUAGGAUUCCUUAGUAAUGGCGAAUGAACAGGGAUCAGCUCAGUGCCAAAUCGGAAUCACUUGUGGUUCUGAAAUGUGGCUUGAAGGCAGUACCAGUGGCAUCGCGGACGAAAGUCUCUUGGAAAAGAGCGUCAUAGAGGGUGAGAAUCCCGUGAGUCGUUCGCCGUUUGUCACGUACGGUCUGCGUUCUAACGAGUCGCGUUCCUUGGGAUUGGAGCGUAAACGGGUGGUAAAUUUCAUCCAAAGCAAAAUAUAUACUCGAGACCGAUAGCACAAAAGUACCGUGAGGGAAAGGUGAAAAGAACUUUGAGAAGAGGGUUAAAUAGUGCCUGAAAUCGUUGAGAAGGAAGCGGAUGCCGCCGUUGCAUAUGCUGAUUGUAGGAUUGCUGCUCGCUCCUGUCUUCUGCUACUCAUUCACAGACCUGGUCGUGUUGAGCAGUUGUUUGGCAGAUGUUAGUGGUGUUUCCUACUUUCAGUCGUCAGCAUCACUGGCUGAGUGGAAAUAAUCCUUGGAUGCUAAUUGGUUCGCUAUCUGUGAAUUGGUUGCUUCCUUGCGAUACUCACUACUCGGUCAGUGAGGAAGUGCGUUUGCUGGUCAACGAGCUUUCUAACUGUCAUUACCCUGCGCUUUUCGAUUCGUCGAGUGGCCAGGAUGUGGCUUUGAGAUUGUUCGCACUUAGUAAUCGCGAUGCUGGCUUCCAACGGUUGCCUCCGGCCCGUCUUGAAACACGGACCAAGGAGUCUAACGUAUGUGCGAGUGUGUGAGUGGCAAACUUAUACGCGUAAUGAAAGUGAGGCCGUAUGGCCAUGUUGGGGUCACCAACAACCGACCUUGAUCUUCGGUGAAAGGUUUGAGUAUGAGCAUAUCCGUUAGGACCCGAAAGAUGGUGAACUAUGCCUGAGCAGGGUGAAGCCAGGGGAAACUCUGGUGGAGGCUCGUAGCGAUACUGACGUGCAAAU
RNAcentral lists this non-coding RNA (1028 nucleotides) under Perkinsus marinus ATCC 50983. RNAcentral's name for it is "Eukaryotic large subunit ribosomal RNA". It matches the Rfam family "Eukaryotic large subunit ribosomal RNA", at positions 1 to 898 of the family's 3401-position model. The record is from Rfam by way of RNAcentral. Lineage: Eukaryota; Perkinsozoa; Perkinsida; Perkinsidae.